This 497-nucleotide ribosomal RNA is filed under the name uncultured bacterium. RNAcentral describes it as "partial 16S ribosomal RNA". It matches the Rfam family "Bacterial small subunit ribosomal RNA", at positions 28 to 507 of the family's 1533-position model. The record is from RNAcentral.
GAUGAACGCUGGCGGCGUGCCUAAUACAUGCAAGUCGAGCGAACAGACGCGGCGCUUGCUCCUCUGACGUUAGCGGCGGGCGGGUGAGUCACGCGUGGAUAACCUCCCUAUCUGUCUGGGAUAUCUUCGGGAAACCGGCGCUAAUCCCGGAUGAUCUAUUGAACCGCAUGGUUCAUUAGUAAAAGUCGGCUGUGCGGGAUCUUCUCGCUGCAUUCGAGCCGCAUGAGCUAGUUGGUACGGUAACAGGCUACCAAGGCAACGAUGCGUAGCCGACCGACUGGGGUGGUCGCCCGCACGGGAACGGGGCCGCGCACCUGGGGCCUACGGUACGCAGCAGAAGGGAACGUUCCGCAAUGGGCGAGAGCCUGACGGAGCAACGCCGCGUCAGAGAUGAAGGUCUUCGGAGCGUAAUGCCCUGUUAUGAGUGAAGAACAGAUGUGUAAGUAACCAUGCACGUCGUGACGGUACCUAGUCAGAAAGCCCCGGCUAACUACGUG